AGUGAACGCUGGCGGUAGGCCUAACACAUGCAAGUCGAACGGCAGCACAGAGGAGCUUGCUCCUUGGGUGGCGAGUGGCGGACGGGUGAGGAAUACAUCGGAAUCUACUCUGUCGUGGGGGAUAACGUAGGGAAACUUACGCUAAUACCGCAUACGACCUACGGGUGAAAGCAGGGGACCUUUGGGCCUUGCGCGAUUGAAUGAGCCGAUGUCGGAUUAGCUAGUUGGCGGGGUAAAGGCCAACCAAGGCGACGAUCCGUAGCUGGUCUGAGAGGAGGGUCAGCCACACUGGAACUGAGACACGGUCCAGACUCCUACGGGAGGCAGCAGUGGGGAAUAUUGGACAAUGGGCGCAAGCCUGAUCCAGCCAUACCGCGUGGGUGAAGAAGGCCUUCGGGUUGUAAAGCCCUUUUGUUGGGAAAGAAAUCCAGCUGGCUAAUACCCGGUUGGGAUGACGGUACCCAAAGAAUAAGCACCGGCUAACUUCGUGCCAGCAGCCGCCGUAA
Molecule: ribosomal RNA, 506 nt
Filed under: uncultured bacterium
Lineage: Bacteria
Description: partial 16S ribosomal RNA
Rfam family: Bacterial small subunit ribosomal RNA
Source: RNAcentral